Molecule: ribosomal RNA, 253 nt
Filed under: uncultured bacterium
Lineage: Bacteria
Description: partial 16S ribosomal RNA
Rfam family: Bacterial small subunit ribosomal RNA
Source: RNAcentral
UACGUAGGGUGCAAGCGUCGUCCGGAAUUACUGGGCGUAAAGAGUUCGUAGGCGGUUUGUCGCGUCGUUUGUGAAAACUCACAGCUCAACUGUGAGCCUGCAGGCGAUACGGGCAGACUUGAGUACUGCAGGGGAGACUGGAAUUCCUGGUGUAGCGGUGAAAUGCGCAGAUAUCAGGAGGAACACCGGUGGCGAAGGCGGGUCUCUGGGCAGUAACUGACGCUGAGGAACGAAAGCGUGGGUAGCAAACAGG